GUAGGUGAACCUGCAGAAGAGAUCA
RNAcentral lists this ribosomal RNA (25 nucleotides) under Uvigerina peregrina. RNAcentral's name for it is "partial 18S ribosomal RNA". The record is from RNAcentral. Lineage: Eukaryota; Foraminifera; Rotaliida; Uvigerinidae.